UGCCAGCCGCCGCGGUAAUACGGAGGGGGCUAGCGUUGUUCGGAAUAACUGGGCGUAAAGCGCGCGUAGGCGGAUUAUCAAGUUGGGGGUGAAAGCCCGGGGCUCAACCUCGGAACGGCCUCCAAAACUGAUAAUCUAGAGUUCUGGAGAGGUAAGUGGAAUUCCUAGUGUAGAGGUGAAAUUCGUAGAUAUUAGGAAGAACACCAGUGGCGAAGGCGACUUACUGGACAGAUACUGACGCUGAGACUCGAAAGCGUGGGUAGCAAACAGGAUUAGAUA
This 279-nucleotide ribosomal RNA is filed under the name uncultured bacterium. RNAcentral describes it as "partial 16S ribosomal RNA". It matches the Rfam family "Bacterial small subunit ribosomal RNA", at positions 506 to 784 of the family's 1533-position model. The record is from RNAcentral.